Ailuropoda melanoleuca (giant panda) is the source of this 737-nucleotide long non-coding RNA. RefSeq lists it as uncharacterized. The record is from RefSeq and is a predicted model, not a curated record. The transcript is spliced from 5 exons. NCBI's taxonomy places the organism in Eukaryota, Metazoa, Chordata, Mammalia, Carnivora, Ursidae.
ACCGCCCCCUCGCCACCAUGCAGCCUUGCCCCCGGAGCUUUGCGUCGGACAGACAUUGAAAACCAUGAGUGUUGCAGUCCGGAGGGAGUAGAUGGGGCGGCUCAACCACACAGAACUAGUUAGCAGCAGCACGGAAUUUGGCAGCAAGUGUCAGAGGGGAAGAAAAACAAGCCAGCCAGUCUUGGCCACCUUUCCCUAGAUAUUAAAAGGAACAUCCUGUGCAAAGGAAAGGUUUAGAGUGAUUCACACACCAGAAGACACAAUUAAACCCCAUGAGCUGUUUUCAUCUCAAGUUGGAGAGAAGAGGAGGAGGAAGCCAACAGAGGGAGCCUGACCUUCUCUUACUCCAAGCUGCCGAGGAGCCCAUGACCUGUAGCCCGUGACCAUCAACGGCCAGCAGUCUGUCCGUUACAUGUCCUCUGUCGUCGUCGUGACGCACUCAGGGUAUAAGGAAAUCUACGCCACAGAGAACAAGUGAAAGGAGGAAGAGGAGAGCUGCCUUGCUGUGUAGCACAUGUUACGAAACAAGUAGACUAAAGCACCCUUAGAAGAAUUUGACAUGAUCCUGCCAUAACCUUGAGCGAGGACAAAACAGCCAUUUCAAACUUAAAACAAAGGAAGAGAAAAGAGCAAACAGCAGCUGAGGACACAGGGCCAGCCCAGGGAGCCCCUCGCAGCCCUAUUUCUGACCCCACGGCAAUGAGGAUGCAAAAGAAUACGCAAAGACUCUUACGGCU